CCGGGGCCUCCCACCUGAGUUUCUCACACCGGCCUUUUCCCCUGCCUGCCAAAGUUGGCUGCUGCUCAGGACUGAAGCUGAGCCUGCGCCACCGUCCACCUCCUCCACGGCACUCUCACCAUGACCAGUGUUUACUGCUUCUUUUUCCUUACUUGCUUAUUUUGUCUCCUCCACUAGAAUGCAAACCUCCCAAGCACAGGGCCCUUGUCUGUCAUGUUCUUCAGGGCCCAGCAUCAAGCCGGGCACACAACAGUUACUCAGUGAAAGUUCUCGAACAAAUGGGUAGAAGGACAUGAAUGGAUAG
Molecule: long non-coding RNA, 304 nt
Filed under: Homo sapiens (human)
Lineage: Eukaryota; Metazoa; Chordata; Mammalia; Primates; Hominidae
Description: HSALNT0213388
Source: RNAcentral